CAGGAAGCCCACAUUCUCCCAAGGGAAGGCGACUCAUAGCUAAUGUCUGAGGGUGAUCUGAGCACUCUUCACCACCCCGUCAGCCCUUAGCUUUCGUCUCAUCUCCUUGCCAACAGCACAUAAGUGUGAGUGACUCCUUACUGCCGUCCAGGCAGCCUGGGGGCUACGAGGGGCUUCAGAGGUCCUCAUCCCCAGCCUGUAGGCCUGGCCAUACUGGACCCAUGAGAUCAGCCACCCUGUCAGCUGGUACCUCGGGGUCCUACAGUCCUCCUCGCUCAAGCCCUGGUCCUCUAACUCGGAGGUGAUGAGGUGUUGGGCUGGAAGAGACAGGCAGCCAGACUCUUCUUUAAGCAUCCCCAUCCCACCUUGGUAUCCUAGUCCCUCUGCUACUCCCGUGCUUGCCUUCCUGGGACAGUGAUAGUUGCAGUUCCUGCUGACUUGGAGUGCCCCUCCGCUCUGUGUCCUGUGAGAAAGCGGAUGAUUCCAAUGUACAGCCAAUGAUGAGCAGCUGCUGGGCUGAAGGGACUGGGGCCAUUUUAUACCAGUUGUAGGAUGUUACACAGAAAUGCCUGAAAAGCAAGGAGCAGCUAUCAGAAUGUUUGGUGACACAGCUCCUCCUGUCGUGGUUCCUUCGGCAUGGACUUCACAUUCAGCAGAUCCAUGAGGUGUUCCCUUUCGGAUGAGCUCCAAGGUCUUAAGAGAGCAUCUCUAGUCUGCGUGAGUCCGUCUGAACGACGGUCCUGAGCAAGAACCACCUAUAACCAUCUGCUCAAAAUAACUCAGGGGAAGUCAAAGCUUUCUAUGUGGAAGGUGACUGAAACCACAUACACAGACCACUGCAGCAUUCCUGACAUUAUGGAACUUGGAAAUGAUUCCAAACAUGGCCAUAGCUUGAGUAACAUGUUUUGCUAUGACAAGAACUUGGACUGUAGUCCUUCCCCCUCUCAAGAAUGUGACAUCACACCUUAUCAGAUCCUACGAGUGAGCUACUGACCUCAACCACUGAACUUCAAACUAUGUAAAAACCUAAGGGUUCGACAGACACUUUGAGAGCUUGGGCUGUGGCAAGCUACACUCUGUCAGCCUCUCUUCGACAGGGCCCCACCCUGCUAGCCUUUGAACUUGGAAGCAUCGCCCACAAACACCAGUGCCACCCUCUAGCCUUGAGGGACCAUAUAUGUCUCUGUGAAUCUCCGUUGCAUUGGACAGCUUCUCUCCCAAGAGCUGCUCUUAUAAAAGAGACACACCACAUUUUAAUGAGGCUUCGCUCUCCACAGAGGCCUGCUUCCAUCCUAAUUGAGCAAGUAGACUUUAGUAACUUUGGAACUCACUCACCCCGUGACUAAUACACCCUGUCUACCCAGCGCAUUCCCUGUGAGAUUUGUUCAUGUUGUUCUCCCCCUCCUUAAGCAUUGUGAACCUAGGAAAAAUAUCAUCUCUGUAGGGCAAUAAACCAUGUGAUUUGUGAAAUC
Molecule: long non-coding RNA, 1472 nt
Filed under: Homo sapiens (human)
Lineage: Eukaryota; Metazoa; Chordata; Mammalia; Primates; Hominidae
Description: HSALNT0302293
Source: RNAcentral